RNAcentral lists this ribosomal RNA (290 nucleotides) under uncultured bacterium. RNAcentral describes it as "partial 16S ribosomal RNA". It matches the Rfam family "Bacterial small subunit ribosomal RNA", at positions 331 to 641 of the family's 1533-position model. The record is from RNAcentral.
UGGGACCUACGGGGGGCAGCAGUGGGGAAUAUUGCACAAUGGGGGAAACCCUGAUGCAGCGACGCCGCGUGAAGGAUGAAGUAUUUCGGUAUGUAAACUUCUAUCAGCAGGGAAGAAAAUGACGGUACCUGACUAAGAAGCUCCGGCUAAAUACGUGCCAGCAGCCGCGGUAAUACGUAUGGAGCAAGCGUUAUCCGGAUUUACCGGGUGUAAAGGGAGCGCAGGUGGUCUGUUAAGUCAGCGGUCAAAGCCCGGGGCUCAACCCCGGCCCGCCGUUGAACCUGGCCGGC